RNAcentral lists this ribosomal RNA (226 nucleotides) under uncultured bacterium. RNAcentral describes it as "partial 16S ribosomal RNA". It matches the Rfam family "Bacterial small subunit ribosomal RNA", at positions 524 to 748 of the family's 1533-position model. The record is from RNAcentral.
UACGGAGGGUGCAAGCGUUAUCCGGAUUCACUGGGUUUAAAGGGUGCGUAGGAGGGCAGGUAAGUCAGUGGUGAAAUCUCCAAGCUUAACUUGGAACUGCCGUUGAUACUAUCUGUCUUGAAUACCGUGGAGGUGAGCGGAAUAUGUCAGUGUAGCGGUGAAAUGCUUAGAUAUGACAUAGAACACCAAUUGCGAAGGCAGCUCGCUACACGAAUAUUGACUCGUG